This 484-nucleotide ribosomal RNA is filed under the name uncultured bacterium. RNAcentral's name for it is "partial 16S ribosomal RNA". It matches the Rfam family "Bacterial small subunit ribosomal RNA", at positions 30 to 507 of the family's 1533-position model. The record is from RNAcentral.
AUUGAACGCUGGCGGCAGGCCUAACACAUGCAAGUCGAGCGGAUGAAGGGAGCUUGCUCCUGGAUUCAGCGGCGGACGGGUGAGUAAUGCCUAGGAAUCUGCCUGGGAGUGGGGGAUAACGUCCGGAAACGGGCGCUAAUACCGCAUACGGCCUGAGGGAGAAAGUGGGGGAUCUUCGGACCUCACGCUAUCAGAUGAGCCUAGGUCGGAUUAGCUAGUUGGUGGGGUAAAGGCCUACCAAGGCGACGAUCCGUAACUGGUCUGAGAGGAUGAUCAGUCACACUGGAACUGAGACACGGUCCAGACUCCUACGGGAGGCAGCAGUGGGGAAUAUUGGACAAUGGGCGAAAGCCUGAUCCAGCCAUGCCGCGUGUGUGAAGAAGGUCUUCGGAUUGUAAAGCACUUUAAGUUGGGAGGAAGGGCAGUAAGUUAAUACCUUGCUGUUUUGACGUUACCAACAGAAUAAGCACCGGCUAACUUCGUG